This 253-nucleotide ribosomal RNA is filed under the name uncultured bacterium. Its description in RNAcentral is "partial 16S ribosomal RNA". It matches the Rfam family "Bacterial small subunit ribosomal RNA", at positions 524 to 776 of the family's 1533-position model. The record is from RNAcentral.
UACGAAGGGGGCUAGCGUUGCUCGGAAUGACUGGGCGUAAAGGGCGCGUAGGCGGCGGACACAGUCAGAUGUGAAAUUCCCGGGCUCAACCUGGGGGCUGCACUUGAUACGUAUAGACUGGAGUGGGGAAGAGGGUCGUGGAAUUCCCAGUGUAGAGGUGAAAUUCGUAGAUAUUGGGAAGAACACCGGUGGCGAAGGCGGCGACCUGGUCCUUGACUGACGCUGAGGGACGAAAGCUAGGGGAGCGAAUGGG